ACGUCGAAACCAGUAUUAUUCCCUAUUUCAUUGUGACACAAAAAAGUAGUCCCAAAAUGUGAUAAAUCACAAGUUUCCAAAUGAGACUGCCCUUGAUGAAUAGUAACGAAUUGAAUAGAACAAGCUUCUUCUCAGUCUCUUAGCGGAGAGGAACACCGGCCGAUAAGUGUCCUUGGCAAGUUGCACAUGCUUGCAAGAGGCGCCAAUUC
Caenorhabditis elegans is the source of this 209-nucleotide non-coding RNA. NCBI's taxonomy places the organism in Eukaryota, Metazoa, Nematoda, Chromadorea, Rhabditida, Rhabditidae. The record is from Ensembl.